GACAAAGUCCCACCCGGCCACCCCAACCUCGUCUCCUCCCUCUUAUCCGCACAUCCCACAGUGCCUCGUCGCCCCACGGCCACCCGCUCCCCGUCGGCGCCCGGCCACCCUGCGCCCCGCUGCCUCCUGGCCACCCCGCGCCUUACCGUCGCCCGGCCACCCCGCCCCCCUGCCGGCGCCCGACCUCCCUGCGCCCCGCCGCCUCCCGGCCACUCCGCGCCUCGUCGCCGCCCGACCACCCCGCGCCUCGCCGCCGCCCGGCCACCCCGCGCCCGUCGCCGCCCGGCCACCCGGCGCCUCGCCGCUUCCCCAUCACAAGGGCCUCAGCCCCGGCGCCCCCCCAGCCCCGGCGACCCCAGCCCUGGCGCGCCUCCGCCCCGGAGACUUCCAUCUCCGGCCUCCUCCCUCCGUCGCCGCCGCGCCUCAGGCCACUCCCUCUGCCACCGACCUAGAUCCCUCCGAGCACCGCGCGCCAUCUCCUGCGAUUCCCAUCACCGCCGGUUUCUAGCGCGGCUCACCGCCUCCCAGCGACGAUGAGGAAGAUGACAGGGGAGCUGCCCGUCUUCACGCAUGGCGCCCCUGGUCCUUGGAUCCCCCCUCCCCGCUCCCCUCCGGCGACCCUACUCGCUCGCCUGGCGCUCGCUCCGGUGACCAGCCGCGCGUCACACGAUAGAUCUCGAAGCUCCUUUACAUUCAGCGCCGCCGCCACACAACCUCAUCUCCGUUUUCUCUUCAUUACGACCUGUAGCCUGUAGGAGUUUCUUCAGCUGCGGUUCAACAAGAAAACCAGCGGCAGUCCAUGCACCCGUUCUAUCUCUUUCCUCUCUAAUGCUCUUUAUCUUACUAAUUUGUUUUCUAUUGGAACUGCAGCCCGAGGGAGGUUGGACGGACAACAUAUUGGUGAUGUUAACAUCAGUCUGUUUAUAUUGAACUGAUGAUCGUGUAUUACUACUGAAGUCAAGCAAUGAGUUCAAUGGAUUCCAAAAAGGAAAAAACUGUGGAUGGGUGAUGAAUCAACUUCCUGUACAGUUGUGCCAUGAGCAGUGGAUGACCCCGACCACCGGCACCACUGCUUCCCGACCUCCUGCUUGCAUCGCGGAGAGCCCUGGCCGUUCACAGCCACCACUCGAGGCCAUUCAACGCCACACCCCAGGCCGUUCAUUGCCAGCAGCACCCUGGAUCCCACCCCUCACCCUACGAGUUUCAGUUAUCGACAGUCCUACUUCUCCAUGACGACAAGGACGACGUUGCCAUGCGUGCACGCUCCAACCUGUCCCCUGUCGCAGCCCCACCACUCGUUGCCGAUGCACUCCAACCCGAGGACCACCAUGAUGGAGGUCGCCUCACAGCCUAGCGAUGAGUGUUUGUUGGUUUCUCUUUCAUUAAUGGACAUCUUGGGCUUGCUGGGUGCAGAAUCAAAAAGCCCAAUCAUCAUCAGGGAUGAAAAAAAGGAGAGAAGCACGGGAAGAGGUACUAGUAGAAGAGGUAGAAGUAAUGUGGAAAAUGAGAUAAAUGUGAGAAUAGCAAGUAGUAAAGCAUGAGAGGGAUUCAGAUUUUGUUUUCACAUUCUUGCUGUACACGUACCUUUGGUCUGUAGAUGCACCGUAAUGGAUCUAGGAAGUAUGAAUGGUUAAUACCUCAAUGGUGCACUAUGCAUCUUUGGCCGGUUUUUAUGCAUUUUUAAAUGGUUGCGGAGCAAUUUAAUGGUGCGCUAUGCACUGAAG
RNAcentral lists this ribosomal RNA (1724 nucleotides) under Triticum aestivum (bread wheat). RNAcentral describes it as "partial small subunit ribosomal RNA". The record is from RNAcentral. Lineage: Eukaryota; Viridiplantae; Streptophyta; Magnoliopsida; Poales; Poaceae.